RNAcentral lists this ribosomal RNA (452 nucleotides) under uncultured bacterium. Its description in RNAcentral is "bacterial SSU rRNA". It matches the Rfam family "Bacterial small subunit ribosomal RNA", at positions 29 to 526 of the family's 1533-position model. The record is from RNAcentral.
AACGAACGCUGGCGGCAGGCCUAACACAUGCAAGUCGAGCGAGAACUUCGGUUCUAGCGGCGGACGGGUUAGUAACGCGUGGGAAUAUGCCCUUCACUACGGAAUAGUCCCGGGAAACUGGGUUUAAUACCGUAUACGCCCUUCGGGGGAAAGAUUUAUCGGUGAAGGAUUAGCCCGCGUUGGAUUAGGUAGUUGGUGGGGUAAUGGCCUACCAAGCCGACGAUCCAUAGCUGGUUUGAGAGGAUGAUCAGCAACACUGGGACUGAGACACGGCCCAGACUCCUACGGGAGGCAGCAGUGGGGAAUCUUAGACAAUGGGGGCAACCCUGAUCUAGCCAUGCCGCGUGAGUGAUGAAGGCCUUAGGGUUGUAAAGCUCUUUCAGCUGGGAAGAUAAUGACGGUACCAGCAGAAGAAGCCCCGGCUAACUCCGUGCCAGCCGCCGCCGUAACAC